RNAcentral lists this ribosomal RNA (282 nucleotides) under Triticum aestivum (bread wheat). RNAcentral describes it as "partial small subunit ribosomal RNA". Lineage: Eukaryota; Viridiplantae; Streptophyta; Magnoliopsida; Poales; Poaceae. The record is from RNAcentral.
AUGGUGGUGCCGUCGGUGUUCGCCGCCUUCGACGAGGACGGCGACGGCAAGGUUUCCGACGAUGCCGACGUGAAGCGAAGGUGCCUGAGGGAGGCGUUCGGGAUGUACGCGUCGUCGUCCACGGAAGACACGAUUACGCCGGCGAGCCUGAGGCGGACGCUGAGCAGGCUGGGGUCGCACGAGCUGGGCGUGGAGGAGUGCCGGGCAAUGAUCUGCAGGUUCGACCUCGACGGCGAUGGCAAACUCUCCUUCGAUGAGUUCGGGAUCAUGAUGAUGGCCUGA